CCUACGGGUGGCAGCAGUGGGGAAUAUUGCUCAAUGAGCGCGAGCCUGAACCAGCCAAGUCGCGUGCGGGAGGACGGCCCUACGGGUUGUAAACCUCUUUUGCCGGGGAGCAACGGUCGCCACGUGUGGCGUCACUGAGAGUACCCGGAGAAAAAGAAUCGGCUAACUCCGUGCCAGCAGCCGCGGUCAUACGGAGGAUGCGAGCGUUCUCCGGAUUUAUUUGGUUUAAGGGGUUCGUAGGCGGAUCGUUAAGUCAGUGGUCAAAUUGAGGGGCUCAACCCCUUCCCGCCAUUGAAACUGGCGUUCUUGAGUGGAAGAGAAGUAUGCGGAAUGCGAGGUGUAGCGGUGAAAUGCAUAGAUAUCACGCAGAACACCGAUUGCGAAGGCAGCAUGCCGGCUUCCGACUGACGCUGAAGCACGAAAGCGUGGGGAUCGAACAGGAUUAGAUACCCCAGUAGUC
This 460-nucleotide ribosomal RNA is filed under the name uncultured bacterium. RNAcentral describes it as "partial 16S ribosomal RNA". It matches the Rfam family "Bacterial small subunit ribosomal RNA", at positions 338 to 795 of the family's 1533-position model. The record is from RNAcentral.